AAUUUUUGACAAUGGGGGAAACCCUGAUUCAGCCAGCCCGCGUGUAUGAUGAAGGACUUCGAGUUGUAAAGUACUCUUGGUAGCGAAGAAAAGGUAUCUCUUAAUACGCGAUACUGUUGACGGUAUCUGCAGAUUAAGCACAGGCUACCUACGUGCCAGCAGCCACGGUAAUACGUAGGGUGUAAGCGUUAAUCGGAAUUACUGGGCGGAAAGCGUGUGGAGGCGGUGCGGAAAGAAAGAUGUGAAAUCCCAGGGCUCAACCUUGGAACUGCAUUUUUAACUGCCGAGCUAGAGUAUGUCAGAGGGGGGUAGAAUUCCACGUGUAGCAGUGAAAUGCGUAGAUAUGUGGAGGAAUACCGAUGGCGAAGGCAGCCCCCUGGGAUAAUACUGACACUGAGGUGCGAAAGCGUGGGGAGCAAACA
Molecule: ribosomal RNA, 422 nt
Filed under: uncultured bacterium
Lineage: Bacteria
Description: partial 16S ribosomal RNA
Rfam family: Bacterial small subunit ribosomal RNA
Source: RNAcentral